CAAAAUCAGUUUCUUGUUUCUGGUUAUUGUCUGACUAUUAUAGCUCUAUAUAAUAACACUGUCUCUGAAUCUUCUGAAGCUGUAAAGUGCUGUUGUGUUUGGUUGUUGCAGGUGUGUUCGUACUGUCACAUGGUUGGUGCCACUUUGGGAUGUUUCUUCAAAGAUUGCCCAAAUAAGUACCACUUCCCCUGUGCCCUGCAGUCAGACAGUGCGCUCAACGAGGAGAACCUAACGAUAAGAUGCCCGAAGCACAAGAAUAAAACAUCCAGAGUGAGCGUUAGCAGGCUGAAGAACAGAUGACAUUUGGAAGGUGCUGAAAUGUCUUUGAAGGUAUUUUACUGCACUACUCACACCUUUAUUAAGCCUUAGACUUUUUAUUUUGCCUUAGACAUUUUUAAUCCGAAGUAUGACAUUAGUUAUGUUUUGUGUGCAGGCCUUAUUAGGA
Molecule: long non-coding RNA, 445 nt
Organism: Sinocyclocheilus grahami
Lineage: Eukaryota; Metazoa; Chordata; Actinopteri; Cypriniformes; Cyprinidae
Source: Ensembl